GAUGGACGCUGGCGGCGUGCCUAAUACAUGCAAGUCGAGCGAACGGACGAGAAGCUUGCUUCUCUGAUGUUAGCGGCGGACGGGUGAGUAACACGUGGAUAACCUACCUAUAAGACUGGGAUAACUUCGGGAAACCGGAGCUAAUACCGGAUAAUAUUUUGAACCGCAUGGUUCAAAAGUGAAAGACGGUCUUGCUGUCACUUAUAGAUGGAUCCGCGCUGCAUUAGCUAGUUGGUAAGGUAACGGCUUACCAAGGCAACGAUGCAUAGCCGACCUGAGAGGGUGAUCGGCCACACUAGAACUGAGACACGGUCCAGACUCCUACGGGAGGCAGCAGUAGGGAAUCUUCCGCAAUGGGCGAAAGCCUGACGGAGCAACGCCGCGUGAGUGAUGAAGGUCUUCGGAUCGUAAAACUCUGUUAUUAGGGAAGAACAUAUGUGUAAGUAACUGUGCACAUCUUGACGGUACCUAAUCAGAAAGCCACGGCUAACUACGUG
Molecule: ribosomal RNA, 497 nt
Filed under: uncultured bacterium
Lineage: Bacteria
Description: partial 16S ribosomal RNA
Rfam family: Bacterial small subunit ribosomal RNA
Source: RNAcentral